AUUGAACGCUGGCGGAAUGCUUUACACAUGCAAGUCGAACGGCAGCAUAGGUGCUUGCACCUGAUGGCGAGUGGCGAACGGGUGAGUAAUACAUCGGAACGUGCCCAGUCGUGGGGGAUAACGUAGCGAAAGUUACGCUAAUACCGCAUACGAUCUAAGGAUGAAAGCGGGGGACCGUAAGGGCUCGCGCGAUUGGAGCGGCCGAUGUCAGAUGAGGUAGUUGGGGAGGUAAAGGCUCACCAAGCCGACGAGCUGUAGCUGGUCUGAGACGACGACCAGCCACACUGGGACUGAGACACGGCCCAGACUCCUACGGGAGGCAGCAGUGGGGAAUUUUGGACAAUGGACGCAAGUCUGAUCCAGCCAUUCCGCGUGCAGGACGAAGGCCUUCGGGUUGUAAACUGCUUUUGUACGGAACGAAAAAGCUCUUACUAAUAUUAGGAGUCCAUGACGGUACCGUAAGAAUAAGCACCGGCUAACUACGUGCCAGCCGCCGCAGUAA
This 502-nucleotide ribosomal RNA is filed under the name uncultured bacterium. RNAcentral describes it as "partial 16S ribosomal RNA". It matches the Rfam family "Bacterial small subunit ribosomal RNA", at positions 30 to 523 of the family's 1533-position model. The record is from RNAcentral.